AACGAACGCUGGCGGCAUGCCUAACACAUGCAAGUCGAACGAAACCUUCGGGUCUAGUGGCGCACGGUUGCGUAACGCGUGGGAACCUUCCCUUAUGUUCGGAAUAACUCCCCGAAAGGGGUGCUAAUACCGGAUAAUGUCUUCGGACCAAAGAUUUAUCGCCUUUGGAUGGGCCCGCGUUGGAUUAGCUAGUUGGUAGGGUAAAAGCCUACCAAGGCGACGAUCCAUAGCUGGUCUGAGAGGAUGAUCAGCCACACUGGGACUGAGACACGGCCCAGACUCCUACGGGAGGCAGGAGUGGGGAAUAUUGGACAAUGGGCGAAAGCCUGAUCCAGCAAUGCCGCGUGAGUGAUGAAGGCCUUAGGGUUGUAAAGCUCUUUUAACCGGGAUGAUAAUGACAGUACCGGGAGAAUAAGCUCCGGCUAACUCCGUG
RNAcentral lists this ribosomal RNA (433 nucleotides) under uncultured bacterium. Its description in RNAcentral is "partial 16S ribosomal RNA". It matches the Rfam family "Bacterial small subunit ribosomal RNA", at positions 29 to 507 of the family's 1533-position model. The record is from RNAcentral.